Regulatory RNA element from Gasterosteus aculeatus (three-spined stickleback), 55 nucleotides. It matches the Rfam family "UnaL2 LINE 3' element". Rfam says of the family: The eel long interspersed element (LINE) UnaL2 and its partner short interspersed element (SINE) share a conserved 3' tail containing a stem-loop that is critical for their retrotransposition. Presumably, the first step of retrotransposition is the recognition of their 3' tails by UnaL2-encoded reverse transcriptase. Lineage: Eukaryota; Metazoa; Chordata; Actinopteri; Perciformes; Gasterosteidae. The record is from Rfam.
UUUAAAGUGUAAUGUAAGUCGCUUUGGAUAAAAGCGUCUGCUAAAAUGACCUGUA